AGAUUAAGUUAUUAAGGGCGCACGGUGGAUGCCUUGGCACUAGAAGCCGACGAAGGACGUUACUAACGACGAUAUGCUUUGGGGAGCUGUAAGUAAGCUUUGAUCCAGAGAUUUCCGAAUGGGGAAACCCAGCACGAGUUAUGUCGUGUUAUCGAUAUGUGAAUACAUAGCAUAUCUGAAGGCAGACGCGGAGAACUGAAACAUCUUAGUACCCGCAGGAAGAGAAAGAAAAAUCGAUUCCCUGAGUAGCGGCGAGCGAAACGGGAAGAGCCCAAACCAACGAGCUUGCUUGUUGGGGUUGUAGGACACUCUAUACGGAGUUACAAAAGAACAGACUAGACGAAUCAUCUGGAAAGAUGAAUCAAAGAAGGUAAUAAUCCUGUAGUCGAAAGUUUGUUCACUCUUGAGUGGAUCCUGAGUACGACGGAACACGAGAAAUUCCGUCGGAAUCUGGGAGGACCAUCUCCCAAGGCUAAAUACUCUCUAGUGACCGAUAGUGAACCAGUACCGUGAGGGAAAGGUGAAAAGUACCCCGGAAGGGGAGUGAAAUAGAACUUGAAACCGUGUGCUUACAAGUAGUCAGAGCCCGUUAAUGGGUGAUGGCGUGCCUUUUGUAGAAUGAACCGGCGAGUUACGAUUUGAUGCAAGGUUAAGCAGUGAAUGUGGAGCCGUAGCGAAAGCGAGUCUGAAUAGGGCGUUGAGUAUUUGGUCGUAGACCCGAAACCAGGCGAUCACCCAUGACCAGGUUGAAGUUCAGGUAACACUGAAUGGAGGACCGAACCGACUUACGUUGAAAAGUGAGCGGAUGAGUUGUGGGUAGCGGAGAAAUUCCAAUCGAACCUGGAGAUAGCUGGUUCUCUCCGAAAUAGCUUUAGGGCUAGCCUCAAGUGAUGAUUAUUGGAGGUAGAGCACUGUUUGGACGAGGGGCCCUUAUCGGGUUACCGAAUUCAGACAAACUCCGAAUGCCAAUCAAUUUAACUUGGGAGUCAGAACGCGGGUGAUAAGGUCCGUGUUCGAAAGGGAAACAGCCCAGACCACCAGCUAAGGUCCCAAAAUAUAUGUUAAGUGGAAAAGGAUGUGGCGUUGCCCAGACAACUAGGAUGUUGGCUUAGAAGCAGCCAUCAUUUAAAGAGUGCGUAAUAGCUCACUAGUCGAGUGACACUGCGCCGAAAAUGUACCGGGGCUAAACAUAUUACCGAAGCUGUGGAUUGUCCGUAAGGACAAUGGUAGGAGAGCGUUCUAAGGGCGUUGAAGCAUGAUCGCAAGGACAUGUGGAGCGCUUAGAAGUGAGAAUGCCGGUGUGAGUAGCGAAAGACGGGUGAGAAUCCCGUCCACCGAUUGACUAAGGUUUCCAGAGGAAGGCUCGUCCGCUCUGGGUUAGUCGGGUCCUAAGCUGAGGCCGAUAGGCGUAGGCGAUGGAUAACAGGUUGAUAUUCCUGUACCACCAUUAUUCGUUUUAAGCGAUGGGGGACGCAGUAGGAUAGGCGAAGCGUACGAUUGGAUUGUACGUCCAAGCAGUGAGAUUGAGUGUUAGGCAAAUCCGGCACUCUUAAGAUUGAGCUGUGAUGGGGAGAGGAAAUUGUUUCCUCGAGUCGUUGAUUUCACACUGCCAAGAAAAGCCUCUAGCUAGAAUUGUGGUGCCCGUACCGCAAACCGACACAGGUAGUCAAGAUGAGAAUUCUAAGGUGAGCGAGCGAACUCUCGUUAAGGAACUCGGCAAAAUGACCCCGUAACUUCGGGAGAAGGGGUGCUCUUUAGGGUUAACGCCCAGGAGAGCCGCAGUGAAUAGGCCCAAGCGACUGUUUAUCAAAAACACAGGUCUCUGCUAAACCGUAAGGUGAUGUAUAGGGGCUGACGCCUGCCCGGUGCUGGAAGGUUAAGAGGAGUGGUUAGCUUCUGCGAAGCUACGAAUCGAAGCCCCAGUAAACGGCGGCCGUAACUAUAACGGUCCUAAGGUAGCGAAAUUCCUUGUCGGGUAAGUUCCGACCCGCACGAAAGGCGUAACGAUUUGGGCACUGUCUCAACGAGAGACUCGGUGAAAUCAUAGUACCUGUGAAGAUGCAGGUUACCCGCGACAGGACGGAAAGACCCCGUGGAGCUUUACUGUAGUCUGAUAUUGAAAUUCGGCACAGCUUGUACAGGAUAGGUAGGAGCCUGAGAUACGUGAGCGCUAGCUUACGUGGAGGCGUUGGUGGGAUACUACCCUCGCUGUGUUGGAUUUCUAACCCGCACCAUUUAUCAUGGUGGGAGACAGUGUCAGAUGGGCAGUUUGACUGGGGCGGUCGCCUCCUAAAGAGUAACGGAGGCGCUCAAAGGUUUCCUCAGAAUGGUUGGAAAUCAUUCAUAGAGUGUAAAGGCAUAAGGAAGCUUGACUGCGAGACUUACAAGUCGAGCAGGGUCGAAAGACGGACUUAGUGAUCCGGUGGUUCCGCAUGGAAGGGCCAUCGCUCAACGGAUAAAAGCUACCCCGGGGAUAACAGGCUUAUCUCCCCCAAGAGUUCACAUCGACGGGGAGGUUUGGCACCUCGAUGUCGGCUCAUCGCAUCCUGGGGCUGUAGUCGGUCCCAAGGGUUGGGCUGUUCGCCCAUUAAAGCGGUACGCGAGCUGGGUUCAGAACGUCGUGAGACAGUUCGGUCCCUAUCCGUCGUGGGCGUAGGAAAUUUGAGAGGAGCUGUCCUUAGUACGAGAGGACCGGGAUGGACAUACCUCUGGUGUACCAGUUGUCGUGCCAACGGCAUCGCUGGGUAGCUAUGUAUGGACGGGAUAAGUGCUGAAAGCAUCUAAGCAUGAAGCCCCCUCAAGAUGAGAUUUCCCAACUUCGGUUAUAAGAUCCCUCAAAGAUGAUGAGGUUAAUAGGUUCGAGGUGGAAGCAUAGCGAUAUGUGCAGCUGACGAAUACUAAUCGAUCGAAGACUUAAUCAAAUUUUA
Molecule: ribosomal RNA, 2927 nt
Filed under: Staphylococcus saprophyticus
Lineage: Bacteria; Bacillati; Bacillota; Bacilli; Caryophanales; Staphylococcaceae
Description: 23S ribosomal RNA
Rfam family: Bacterial large subunit ribosomal RNA
Source: RNAcentral